GACGAACGCUGGCGGCGUGCUUAACACAUGCAAGUCGAACGGAAAGGCCCUGCUUUUGUGGGGUGCUCGUGUGGCGAACGGGUGAGUAACACGUGAGUAACCUGCCCUUGACUUUGGGAUAACUUCAGGAAACUGGGGCUAAUACCGGAUAGGAGCUCCUGCUGCAUGGUGGGGGUUGGAAAGUUUCGGCGGUUGGGGAUGGACUCGCGGCUUAUCAGCUUGUUGGGGGGGUAGUGGCUUACCAAGGCUUUGACGGGUAGCCGGCCUGAGAGGGUGACCGGCCACAUUGGGACUGAGAUACGGCCCAGACUCCUACGGGAGGCAGCAGUGGGGAAUAUUGCACAAUGGGCGGAAGCCUGAUGCAGCAACGCCGCGUGCGGGAUGACGGCCUUCGGGUUGUAAACCGCUUUCGCCUGUGACGAAGCGUGAGUGACGGUAAUGGGUAAAGAAGCACCGGCUAACUACGUG
This 468-nucleotide ribosomal RNA is filed under the name uncultured bacterium. RNAcentral describes it as "partial 16S ribosomal RNA". It matches the Rfam family "Bacterial small subunit ribosomal RNA", at positions 28 to 507 of the family's 1533-position model. The record is from RNAcentral.